Long non-coding RNA from Fundulus heteroclitus (mummichog), 879 nucleotides. RefSeq lists it as uncharacterized. The transcript has 6 exons. Lineage: Eukaryota; Metazoa; Chordata; Actinopteri; Cyprinodontiformes; Fundulidae. The record is from RefSeq and is a predicted model, not a curated record.
GUUUCUGGUUGCGGGACAUCACCGUGUUGUUGUGUUUUGUCGAGUGAAAACUGCGGUUCUGGUCCUGCUGGGCUCCAAGUCUGAGCUUCUGCUGCAGCCACAGCAUCUUCUCCAUCCGCAUCCUGAGAGUGGAGGACGGCGAGCCGCCACCAGUCCACGCCGUCAGCGCGUUGUGUCUGUGCGACCUGGCAGGCUCUGAGCGCAGCUCCAGGAGCCAGAACAAAGGAGAGGACCUGAAGGAGGCUGGAAACAUCAACGCCUCGCUGCUCAUUCUGGGCAAAUGCAUCAAGGCUCUGCAGCACAACCAGCACACCAGGUGGAGGUUGUGAUCUCCAGGCUCCUCCCCGUCGUUCCUCCUGCUUCCUGCAGCAGGAAGACGCUGCAGAGCAGCAGCAGCUCCCUGAGCGGCUGGGAAGCCAGUCUGGAAGACCUUCAGGGUGAAGACCAAGACUCCAGUCUGAUGGAGGACAGCAUGGAGGAGACGGCUGACCAGGUGAAGAAGUCGUCAUUAAUAAGAGGCUUCACCAGGAAGCGGUCCGAUAAAAGCCCGUCUCUAGUUCCUAGGCUGGGCUUUUCCUGCUGGACCCGAUGGAUGGAAAGAGUUUUUGGACCUGACCUUGAACCUUGACCUUUGGCCUCAGACUUCCCUGACCUGAUGAGACCGUCAGAGAGCAGUUCUGAUUGGCUGUCAGUGAAGCUCUGUAAACAUAUUGACUUGAUCUACUUUAGUCCUCUUUCUAUUAAAUACUGACGUAAAUCUAUCUGCAGCCAGUUGAGUUUCAUCUUUUUCUGCCGGAUUUGAUCCACCAGACAAACUGUUUCUGUCUCCUGAUUUAUGGACUGAUAGAAAGAAGCUAUUUAGUGCCUGACAUCACAGCA